Molecule: RNA transcript, 3236 nt
Organism: Syngnathus acus (greater pipefish)
Lineage: Eukaryota; Metazoa; Chordata; Actinopteri; Syngnathiformes; Syngnathidae
Gene name: transcription factor COE1-like
Exons: 20
Source: RefSeq, a predicted model, not a curated record
CCGCGCUCAGAGUCAUCACCCGGAGCCGCGCUCAGAGUCAUCUCCCGGAGCCGCGCUCGCAGCCGCCCCCUCCCUGUGUUCCCGCCUCGGCCACAUGAAGGCGAGCGAAAGCUUGGCCUGGCCUGGCCACGGGUAAGUGCACAGACGCUCAGUCCCUUUUUCGCCAAAGCAAAGUGGGACUGAGCGUUUCACGUGCGUAAGCAUGCGCUUGCUGUGUUUGGUCCGUUUGCCUUGAAAAGCCCAAAUCAUCUUUUUGCCGGUCACCUGCGAUUUCUUAUGCAAUCGUUGUGUCUGAUGGGAUUAGUGUUCUUUCUUGUAAUUCUUGUAAAUGUAUUUGAUAAGAUUUGAAUUUGUGCACACGGCGGCACCGUGCAAAAUUGACCACCCAUUCGAUGUAAAAGAAGGCCUCCCUCCCUCCCUCCCUCUCUCUCCCUCCUCCCUCCCUCCCUCAUCAAGGCAUCAUUGUGAGAUGGAUGAUAGUGAUGGCAAGCUCGCAAUGACAAAAAUGUAUUGAGUCUGGAAAUGUCUUCUUUUUUUUUUUUUUUUCUUUCGUCUCGUCUCGGGCGCUCGCUCCACUUCUCGUCUUCUUGCGGUUGAUGGCUGAUCCAGAGCAAGAUCCGGACCAAUCAAGUGGGGCGGGCUUAGCGCGAGCCCACUUUGAGAAGCAGCCGCCGUCCAACCUGAGGAAGUCCAACUUCUUCCACUUUGUCUUGGCGCUGUACGACCGGCGGGGCCAGCCGGUGGAAAUGGAGCGGGCCGCCUACGUGGACUUUGUGGAGAAGGAGAAGGAACCCACGGCAGAAAAAACCAACAACGGCAUUCAUUACAAGCUGCAGCUGCUCUACGCCAACGGCGCGCGAGGAGAGCAGGACCUCUACGUGCGACUCAUUGACUCCGUGAGCAAACAGGCCAUCAUCUACGAGGGUCAGGACAAGAAUCCGGAGAUGUGCCGAGUUCUGCUGACGCACGAGAUCAUGUGCAGCCGCUGCUGCGAUAAGAAAAGCUGCGGAAACAGAAACGAGACGCCCUCCGACCCGGUCGUCAUCGACAGGUUCUUCCUCAAGUUCUUCCUCAAGUGUAACCAAAAUUGUCUGAAAAACGCCGGAAACCCCAGAGACAUGAGGAGGUUUCAGGUGGCGGUGUGCACAACGCUCAACGUGGACGGGCACGUCCUGGCUGUCUCCGACAACAUGUUUGUGCACAACAACUCCAAACACGGCCGCCGAGCUCGGAGACUGGACCCGUCUGAAGCAGCGUGUCCGUGCAUCAAGGCCGUCAGCCCCAGUGAGGGAUGGACCACGGGGGGCGCCACCGUCAUCCUCAUUGGAGAGAACUUCUUUGACGGCCUUCAGGUGGUCUUCGGGAGCAUGCUGGUGUGGAGCGAGCUCAUCACACCGCACGCCAUCCGUGUGCAAACCCCCCCGCGCCACAUCCCCGGAGUGGUGGAGGUCACCUUGUCCUACAAGUCCAAGCACUUUUGCAAAGGGGCGCCUGGACGCUUCAUCUACACAGCCUUGAACGAGCCCACCAUCGAUUACGGCUUCCAGAGGCUACAGAAGGUCAUUCCUCGUCACCCCGGAGACCCUGAGAGGCUUCCCAAGGAAGUGCUCCUGAAGCGAGCGGCCGACAUGGCAGAGGCCUUGUACGCGGCGCCGCCCGGCAACCAGGAGACCAUCCUGAAGCGAGCGGCGGACGUGGCCGAGGCCCUCUACAGCGUCCCGCGCAGCCACGUGGCCCCCCCUCACGCCAUGAUGGGAGUUGGCUCCUUUGGCGGCGCCCAGCUGGGGCUCGACCUCAACGACGCUGCUCAAGGCGGCUACGCUCCCGGCAGCGGCCAGCCGUCCCCCAGAGGGUAUGCCCCCAGCCCCCCCGGCCAGCAGAGCAACUACGGCGCCUACGGCAACAGCAGCAUGCCCAACCUCGGGCUGGCGUCUUCACCCAACUUCCUCAACGGAUCCUCCGCCAACACGCCCUACGGCAUCGUGGCGACCAGUCCCACCGUGUCCGGCUGUAGCUCCGCCCACGGCGUCUUUGCCUUCUCUGCCAGCGUCAAAACCAAGAGCGCCUUUGCCCCCGUGGUGAGGCCCGCCGCAGCAGGAGCCACCCCGCCCCUGCCGCCGACCAACAACUGCGGACUCAACGCCGGACUGCAAGGCGUCCAAAUGGCACAUUCAAGCAAGGCGCUCGCGUCUCCAUCGCGAUGAACCUCAGACGAACAUGCUAGCGCUGCUCAACCAAGACUUGGACGCAACAUGUCCCGGAUGCACGCUGCCAACCUCCCAGGCCGCCCUCCCGCCGAUCUCCGUCCUUUUUACGAGCGCGCCUGCAUGGCGAAAUGACGCGCUUAUGCCCCGGGACGCACCUUUCCCCGCCCCCCUACCCGGCUGCCAUGGUUACUGCAGACUGGAGGCUCCACGUCGGCUGCUGGUCGUCUAUCUGCAUAUCUCGAAAGAGUAAACAAUCACAACAAAGUAACAAGUUGGAUAGCAAUCUGCUCAUUGCCGAGUGGUGAAGUGGUUGGCCAGAGGGACGAGCGGUGGCGUGGUAGGCCAGAAGGACGAGCAGUGAAGUAGUCUGCCAGUGGGAUGAGUGUUACUCCAUGCCUGGACCGAGACAAAAAGAGAUGGGUUGCUGAGGCAGUAACAAGGAAAUUGAAGUGCUGCUGGUCUGCAGCUUUCUUCUGGUCCUCAGCUUCCACUGCAAGCAGGUACUUGGUGCUCCACACGGGACACAAAAAUAACUGAUUCAAAUUUUGAAACAUGUUGGCUAAAGUGUCAUUUACUUUCCUUCUCUUACCAGCAGCAGGCUCUUCAGGCAGCACGGAUCCAGGUGAACGAGCUCAGAGUAGUUGUGGUUGAAAAACUGUGGCAGCCUUGGCACUUUGUAGACCAGGAUUUGUCACCUCUGCCUGGAAAGAAAAAGGAACAUUGACAACAAUUCCAUUUAAGUUUACUGGUUUUAUUUUUAAUUGUAGACUGGAAGCAGCCGUUUGCUGGUGCACAGGCAGAGUUGCUAAAAUGUUCAUACUCUCCAGGGUGGACACCUGCACACAAGACAAACAAGGGACCCAUCAAGCUGCUAUUUAGUACAUUUUAUAUGUGCGUCAACUCUGAAAUUGGAGGCAUUCUUGAGGAACCUCUGCAUGGUUUUGAGGGCUUUUACCUUUGGCCAGCAGGUGACAGAUUUUCUAACUGCAUCCUUACUGGAAAGUGCUCUGCAGGAAGAGGGAGGCAUAA